AUGUAAAAGUGACAAUAGUGGUGCAAUGUUUGAGAAUGCUUCAGGGGUGAAUUUUGAUGCUUACAGAAACAGAAAAAAGUUCAGGAAUUAAACCCAGUUAGUUCUACAGUCAAAAUUAAUAUACCAAUGAAAGAAAUAAAGGAACCUUAUAUACUCAACAAGUCAACAUUCAGGCUUUUUGUUGAUUAUCCUUACUUCCAAAUACAAUGUAGAAGAUAACUGACAAGUUUUUUGGCUGCUAGGUUUCAGUCUUUUUGUCUUUCAACUUUCUUUAUAUCCAUGCGUGGAAAGGAUUCUUGGACCUAUAACAAUAUGUCGCCUUUCUGGGGUUAUAUCCAUACCACUGUUGUCCAGUUACCCUUUUAUUGCCAUGUUGUCAGGGUUCAGCCUUACCCUUCUGCUAAAUUGCGCAUCUAUAAUGAAGAAUAUUCUAUCUGUGAGUGAUCCUGCUAAAUUGGGCAUUAUUGAAUUUUCUUAUUACACAUUAUGAAAAGUAUUUCAUAUUUUUAAUUUU
Manihot esculenta (cassava) is the source of this 514-nucleotide long non-coding RNA. RefSeq lists it as uncharacterized. The transcript is spliced from 2 exons. NCBI's taxonomy places the organism in Eukaryota, Viridiplantae, Streptophyta, Magnoliopsida, Malpighiales, Euphorbiaceae. The record is from RefSeq and is a predicted model, not a curated record.